This 253-nucleotide ribosomal RNA is filed under the name uncultured bacterium. RNAcentral's name for it is "partial 16S ribosomal RNA". It matches the Rfam family "Bacterial small subunit ribosomal RNA", at positions 524 to 776 of the family's 1533-position model. The record is from RNAcentral.
UACGUAGGGGGCAAGCGUUGUCCGGAAUUAUUGGGCGUAAAGCGCGUGUAGGCGGCCAGAAAAGUCCGCUGUGAAAACUCGAGGCUCAACUUCGAGCUGUCGGUGGAAACUUUCUGGCUAGAGUCCGGAAGAAGAGAAUGGAAUUCCUGGUGUAGCGGUGAAAUGCGCAGAUAUCAGGAAGAACACCCGUGGCGAAGGCGGUUCUCUGGGACGGUACUGACGCUGAGACGCGAAAGCGUGGGGAGCGAACAGG